RNAcentral lists this unclassified non-coding RNA (547 nucleotides) under Hevea brasiliensis (rubber tree). Lineage: Eukaryota; Viridiplantae; Streptophyta; Magnoliopsida; Malpighiales; Euphorbiaceae. The record is from RNAcentral.
AGUAAAUCAUGUUUCUUAAGAAAGUUGAAGAAAUAACAUAAAUUGAACCAACACAGCAUUUAUCAAGCUACAAGGCCAUCAAUCAAUAUAUGUUUGUGGCCUAGAGAAAUCUAGUGUUCAAAAACUACCCAUAAGGUUCAAAAUCUGACCAAUAACAGCACCAAAGUCCACAACUAUAGUUAGAAAAAUACUAGAUACUGAAAUGCAAAGGCAAAGAAACUACCAUCUCCCCUCAAUGGUUCUCAUCAGUUAAUCGACCUCCUCCAUCUUGCUUCCCUCAGCAUCCUCCUCAAGAGGAGGCAUCUCAGUGUCCGCAGCAUCGGCUGAUACCUCAUCAUCGUCAAUGUUGAGGCCAAGCUUCAACAUGCGGUGAAUCCUGUUGCCGAAGGUGUUGGGCUCAUCGAGGCUGAAACCAGAGGUGAGCAGUGCAGUCUCAAACAGCAGCAACACAAGGUCCUUGACUGACUUGUCGUUCUUGUCAGCAUCAGCCCGCUUCCUCAGCUCUUCCAUGAUGGAGUUCUCCGGGUUGAUUUCCAUGGUCUUCUUG